UGCUACAACACUGUUCACAAAUAAGGUUAAAUGUUCAGAACUAAACCAUGUCACCAUUUGGCUGUGUUAUCUCACAAUUGUGUGCUAUUCUAGCCACAGGCUAGAAGAUCAGUUUACAUUAUGAAGCAAAGGCAUGAACCAGUGAGACGCAUUUAAUGUACCAUCACCGCUUUGUUAUGGAUGAGUCAUUUUCUGACACCCAGAAACAAUGCAAAGACUUCAAACUAAACUUAAAUGUUUUGUGAUGUAAAAGGGAAAAGUGAUUUGGUUCAAAUCUGAGUCCAAGACUGAAGACAAAUGACAAACUCUUGAACUAGCAACCAGCUGUUCUGCUCAUGCAGACGGUCGAGGUCAGGCAGCGCAAGUUGCGACUCCUGUUCACAACGUGAGACACUAUUAUUAUUGGCUGUCAAACAAUUAGCACCGUUAGAUUGUACGCAGACACACCAGUGUUUCCAUCAUUCAAAUCACAACAGUUAAUUACAUGACCAAUAACAAACUGAAAGGACAAAAUAAAGGCAGGGCAUUGUCAAAGCUUAUUACUGUUAUUUCAGUUUUGCAGACUGCAUGUUUUGUUUAACAUUAGUUGUCUUGGAAUUGUCAACAGGCUUUUGAUUGAAGUGAAAGAGUUAAAUAUGAUCUUAUGUGUGGCUACAAACCAACAAAAAGCAUUCAUCAUAUCUGCAAAUUAAGCUAAAAACAAUACAAGUCCUUGUUUUGAGGGUUGUUCCUCAAUGGCCCUUGAUCAAAAUAAAUAAAUAAAAUGAAGAGGGGGAAAAAAAUCUCGCCUCCACUGUGUCUUGUCCUGCAUUUGGGUCAAAGUGUUAAAGUAAAACCAGCAUGAGGAGUGUCUGUUGGAAUGUGUAGGAGUGGCUGAGUAAGUAUGCGGCGUGAUUAGAGAGUUUCUGGCCUUGACCUUUAGACAUGAAGGAAUGAAUAGAGAUGUGCGUAUGUGCUCAUUAGAUCAAGUACACAGUCAAUUUUGUGUGUGGAGGAAGAAUAAUCACAUCAGAACUUACUGCAGGUUUGUCAACAAUUUAAUGGCUAAAACAGAUAUGUCUGAAACCUUUCAAGCAACAACUGCCGCUCCAUCUUUCUUAUUUCGAAUAAUAUUAAACGACUUGCGCAACAAUUCAAGAAUUCCAGACACUUUGCAGUCACAAUCAAAAUAGAAUAUCAGUCGUGUACCUCAGUGCAUCUGAGGGCGUUAGCAGACUGAGCACCAUACUUAACAUAAGAGAAAUGUGUAAACAUAACAUGGCUGCACAGCUCUAAUCCACACUGUUUACAUGGAAAGCGCAACCUGAGAUUCUGAUACCACACUGAUUAGGGCCAGUCAACUAACACACAGAUCCAACAGGUUAUUUUCUCAUCCAACUGAAGUCUGCCACAUGGAGUAGUGUUUUGUUUUUUUGCUUGUAUAAUGCCCAUGACAA
Molecule: long non-coding RNA, 1436 nt
Organism: Thalassophryne amazonica
Lineage: Eukaryota; Metazoa; Chordata; Actinopteri; Batrachoidiformes; Batrachoididae
Exons: 3
Source: RefSeq, a predicted model, not a curated record